CUUUCUUACAACCUACCUUAGUUUCAGGACAAGGCUUUAGGAUUUAAGACAAAGCCUUAUUUGAUCCUAACAAGGGUUGUGAGGGUCCUAAAGAAGGGAAAUCAGAAGUUUAAAAAAAGAUCUAAGAGGGUCGAGUCAGAUUCUUGGAGAAAUCUGAUCGAUAUAGGGCUAGUCAAGUUUUAGGGGCUAGAACUCUUGAAGCA
This 203-nucleotide long non-coding RNA is filed under the name Elaeis guineensis (African oil palm). Its description in RNAcentral is "long non-coding RNA (EGUI_LNC065094)". The record is from RNAcentral. Lineage: Eukaryota; Viridiplantae; Streptophyta; Magnoliopsida; Arecales; Arecaceae.